CACCGCGGUUAUACGAAGGGCCCAAAUUGAUAGCCAUCGGCGUAAAGGGUGGUUAAGAUUAUAUUCAAAUAAAGCCAAAUGCCUUCAAAGCUGUAAUAAGCAUCCGAAGAUAAGAGGCUCAACUACGAAAGUGGCUUUACAAGAUCUGACCCCACGAAAGCUAGGGCA
Molecule: ribosomal RNA, 168 nt
Filed under: Chaunax abei
Lineage: Eukaryota; Metazoa; Chordata; Actinopteri; Lophiiformes; Chaunacidae
Description: partial 12S ribosomal RNA
Source: RNAcentral